Molecule: ribosomal RNA, 620 nt
Filed under: Saccharomyces cerevisiae (brewer's yeast)
Lineage: Eukaryota; Fungi; Ascomycota; Saccharomycetes; Saccharomycetales; Saccharomycetaceae
Description: eukaryotic LSU rRNA
Rfam family: Eukaryotic large subunit ribosomal RNA
Source: RNAcentral
UGCAUAUCCAAAAAGCGGAGGAAAGGAAACCAACCGGGAUUGCCUUAGUAACGGCGAGUGAAGCGGCAAAAGCUCAAAUUUGAAAUCUGGUACCUUCGGUGCCCGAGUUGUAAUUUGGAGAGGGCAACUUUGGGGCCGUUCCUUGUCUAUGUUCCUUGGAACAGGACGUCAUAGAGGGUGAGAAUCCCGUGUGGCGAGGAGUGCGGUUCUUUGUAAAGUGCCUUCGAAGAGUCGAGUUGUUUGGGAAUGCAGCUCUAAGUGGGUGGUAAAUUCCAUCUAAAGCUAAAUAUUGGCGAGAGACCGAUAGCGAACAAGUACAGUGAUGGAAAGAUGAAAAGAACUUUGAAAAGAGAGUGAAAAAGUACGUGAAAUUGUUGAAAGGGAAGGGCAUUUGAUCAGACAUGGUGUUUUGUGCCCUCUGCUCCUUGUGGGUAGGGGAAUCUCGCAUUUCACUGGGCCAGCAUCAGUUUUGGUGGCAGGAUAAAUCCAUAGGAAUGUAGCUUGCCUCGGUAAGUAUUAUAGCCUGUGGGAAUACUGCCAGCUGGGACUGAGGACUGCGACGUAAGUCAAGGAUGCUGGCAUAAUGGUUAUAUGCCGCCCGUCUUGAACCCACGGGACCA